AGUAAAAUCAGCUAACUAAGCUAUUAGGCCCAUACCCUAAUCAUGCGGGUGAGACCCCCUCUUUUGCUG
This 69-nucleotide transfer RNA is filed under the name Diaphus luetkeni. RNAcentral's name for it is "tRNA-Met". The record is from RNAcentral. Lineage: Eukaryota; Metazoa; Chordata; Actinopteri; Myctophiformes; Myctophidae.